UCCUCCAAUUGAGCACAGUUGUUUAUUUAGUCCUAAUAAGGGUCCAUUAUACAUUAAUCAGUGCCGUGAUUCCUCAUCUUAUUGCAUUAACUAUCCUAUAUGCAACUCUUUCAAUAUAGUCCCUACUUCAAUCACCUCAAUCUCAUCUUUGUUUCAGAACUUGAUGGAUCAUGGAUGAACUUAACUCAGUUGUUUGUGGGAUAAACGUUUUUCAUUCCUUCUUUCCUACCAAUUUUCAGCUCUUGCCCACAAAAAUUGCUUAUGGGUUGGAAUAAAUGAAGUCUCAACUUAAAGUUGCAGCUGUUCUUGUUAUUAGCUUGCUAUGGAUUCAGCACUCAUUUUGUGCAGAUGAACCUUCUGAGACUUACCUAAACAAGUGGAAAUGUAGAUGUUCUUCUUUCCAAAGGAACCAUAGAUACUCUCUUUCUAAUUGUUCUCACUCAUGUGAUUGCCAUUCAGAUGCUGAAGAUAGUGAAUCCUCAUGGACAUGCAUAUGUGAUACCAAUGGAUUCCCUAAAGUGGCAGCAGGUGGCCAUAGCUCUAGUUGCUUUAAAUCCUGCAACUGCACCUGGGGAAGCAAAACUGUUGCAUUAGGUUCAAAGAAACACAUUUCAACAAGGACUGUGAUAGUAGUUGUGCUUUUAAUAUGUGUUGUAUGCAGCGCUCUUGCAUUUAUUGCCUCAGUUCUAUACUAUGUCUGCAGAAGAGACAGCUGUUCAAUUCAAUCACCAAUGGUUUUAUCAGAUAAAGAAACAAGUUACAAUAGUACCUCCAACUUAAUUAGACAUAGAACAUUUUCAGUUCCAGAAACAAAAGCUGCUAUUCAUUUUCCAGUGAGUCAUAGUGCAGGAUGCUUUCAGAAGGCCUCUUUCUUGUUUGGGAGCCAUAGAGAAACUUUUCAUGGAAGUAUCAUUCGAUUUUCGUUCUCUGAGCUGGAAAAUGCCACUGGAAACUUCUCAACUUCCAACAUAAUUGGACUUGGUGGAUGUAGUUAUGUAUACCGCGGACGACUUAAAGAUGGAAGUAACGUGGCAGUUAAGCGAUUAAAAGAUGAAGGAGGACCUGAAGCAGACACUGAAUUUUUCACUGAGAUUGAACUAUUGUCUAGGCUUCAUCAUUGUCAUCUGGUGCCAUUGCUUGGAUACUGCUCAGAAUUAAAAGGGAAAAAUGUUCAUAGGUUACUAGUGUUUGAGUACAUGCCUAAUGGGAAUUUGAGGGACCGUUUGGAUGGAGUUUUUGGAAAGAACAUGGGUUGGUCUACUCGGGUAAAUAUCGCAUUGGGAGCUGCCAGGGGUUUGGAGUAUCUCCAUGAAGCAGCUGCUCCAAGAAUUCUGCAUAGAGAUGUCAAAUCAACCAACAUUCUUCUUGAUGAAAAUUGGCAUGCAAAAAUAACUGAUCUUGGUAUGGCUAAAAACUUGAUAGCUGAUGACAUACUCAGUUGUCCUGGCUCUCCAGAGAGAAUGCAGGGCACAUUCGGGUAUUUCGCACCUGAGUAUGCAAUUGUUGGGAGAGCUUCUCUUGAAUCUGAUGUAUUUAGUUUUGGUGUGGUUCUUCUUGAGCUUAUCAGUGGCCAGCAACCAAUCCUUAGAUCAGCAGGCAGAGAAGAAAGCCUUGUUAUAUGGGCCACUCCUCUCUUGCAAGAUAGCAGGAGACUAAUCACAGAGUUGAUCGAUCCGCGAUUGAAAGGAAACUUCCCAGAAGAAGAGGUGAAGGUAAUGGCAUACUUAGCAAAAGAGUGUUUGCUGUUGGAUCCUGACACAAGACCAACCAUGAGUGAGGUUGUUCAAAUUCUUUCAAGUAUUUCCCCUGGAAAAUCUAGAAGAAGAAUAAGCAUUCCACUUAGCCUUUUUCAGGAAUCAGAGGAUUCAGAGAAGGCAAGGCAAGCUUCUUCGUCGGCCCGAUUCGCUUAUUGUAAUUUCAUGUCACAAGAUACUGAAAACAAUCAUGUUGUUGGGAAUGAAAAUGAAAAUGUAGAUGCAUUUUCAACUGAGUAUAUGGAGAGUUUGAUCCUCUUGACUUCAAAAAUUCCUGAGAGCUGGCAUGCAUCAGAAGAGGAAAUGGUAGACCUAACUGAACCUCGGUUCCAAUCGUUUUCCUUGAUGACAUUAACAUAGAAAGGUUCAGAAUACUGAAGACUGAAGAAUGUAGAGGGUGCUGAUCUAAAUUCAUUCACUUUCCUUUGUAAUGUAGAGCACAUAAGAGUUGUUUAUAGCUAAGAACUUUGAAUAUGUUCCUUGUAUUCUUGUACAGAAAAGAUAAGCAUAGGUAAUUGUGAUUCCAGUUCUACUUUAUUUGUAGAAGAAUUGGAUGUGAUGAACUUGUAACAAUCAGCAUUCAACAAUAGAAAUAAGCAUUUUGCAUUUGUAUUCAGCAGUAGUACUGAUAUAAGUGCUAGGUCUAUUUAUUUGUACCCAAUUUUCACUCAACAUUUCUUUGGUUUUUUUUUCCCACUAGUUCUAGUCUUAACCAAUGAAUAAGGAUUGACUUUCAAGUGUUUAAAUAGAAAGACUUAACACUAUUUUGUUAGCUGCAUUUUGAAUCCAAAGUUUGAAUGGUAGAUGAAGGUAAGACUUGAGGAAAGGAUGGUAAGAAACCUAUCAACUAUGCUUACUUUUUCUUUGUUGAGAAGUAACCAUUGUUGUAACUUGUAAGUAGGUGAUGGAUCCUCCUCCUCCAAGCACACUAUUGCUAGGUCAAGCUCCCCCUGAUGGAGGAUUCUUGGAUACAUGCUUAUGGUUUCUGUGCUGCUGUGGUUUAUUCAGUUGCUGCUUCCCUCCUCUUUAUGAACCAGGGCCUCCUCCUCUCUAGUUCUUAGCUUGUUGCAUUUUUUUUUUCUUAGAAUUUUCUUUAUAUGUGUUCUACUUCAUCAGAAAUAACAACUUUUAUAUACUAGUAUAAUACUACUUUAUGGACUUAUUUAUAUUUGAAUGUAUAAUUUUUAAAGUCAUACAAAUUCUGAACCAAAACCACAUGGUUCUGAAGAGGUGUGAAACCAAAAUCAUUGUGAGAUGGGUCCUCUGAGUAUGGAUACACACUGUAUUUUGGGGUUAACAAAUUUGAUAGAUGGAUCUUCUGUAAGGUACAACCAAUGCCACUUG
Arachis stenosperma is the source of this 3098-nucleotide RNA transcript. It is a transcript of the gene named receptor-like serine/threonine-protein kinase NCRK, with no coding region annotated. The record is from RefSeq and is a predicted model, not a curated record. Lineage: Eukaryota; Viridiplantae; Streptophyta; Magnoliopsida; Fabales; Fabaceae. The transcript has 11 exons.